This 747-nucleotide ribosomal RNA is filed under the name Triticum aestivum (bread wheat). RNAcentral describes it as "partial small subunit ribosomal RNA". Lineage: Eukaryota; Viridiplantae; Streptophyta; Magnoliopsida; Poales; Poaceae. The record is from RNAcentral.
AUGGCCUCAGGGUUCAUCCUCCUUGCCCUUUUGGCUUUGUCAGCUUCUAGUGCUCUUGCCUCCGACCCAGGCCAGCUCCAGGAUUUCUGCGUCGCUGACAGGACAUCCCAAGGUUCAUAUAUGCAUUCCUGUGCUGGAACGUUCGCGCUACUUAUUUGUGCCUGCCAAUAUGUAGUUGUUAACUGUUCAAAAUCUUGAUAUGUAUGUGCAGUUUUUGUCAAUGGAUUUGCAUGCAAAGACCCAAAGACUGCCUUGGCAGAAGAUUUCUUUUUCUCUGGCCUUCAGAUGGCUGGGAACACGAGCAACAAGCAAGGUUCCGCAGUUACCGCAGUUAAUGUGGCGCAAAUUGCUGGGCUGAACACUUUGGGCAUCUCCCUGGCUCGUGUCGAUUAUGCACCCUACGGUCAAAACCCACCGCAUAUCCACCCCCGUGCAACCGAGAUCCUGACCGUGCUGGAAGGCUCGCUCUAUGUUGGUUUCAUCACCUCGAACCCUGAAAACAAGUUGUUCUCAAAAGUUCUUAACAAAGGGGAUGUGUUUGUGUUUCCACAAGGGAUGAUUCACUUUCAGUUCAACUACGGAACCAACAAGGCGAUAGCCAUUGCAGCGCUGAGCAGCAAAAAUCCUGGAGUGAUCACCAUAGCCAAUACAGUGUUUGGAUCGAAUCCAUCCAUCUCAGGUGAUAUACUUGCCAAAGCCUUCCAGGUGGACAAGAAGAUGGUAGACCAUAUUCAAGCUCAGUUCUAG